This is a long non-coding RNA of Folsomia candida, 7490 nucleotides long. RefSeq lists it as uncharacterized. The record is from RefSeq and is a predicted model, not a curated record. NCBI's taxonomy places the organism in Eukaryota, Metazoa, Arthropoda, Collembola, Entomobryomorpha, Isotomidae. The transcript has 4 exons.
UUCAUAAAGGUGUAGCUCCAUCAUAUUUACGUUUGGAGCGAAGGCAGGCAAAGUAUAUUUAUUUACAGAAUUAGCAAAUCCUUGUACAUAAGCACCUUCCAGGUCUUUCUCAGGGAAGUGGAUCGAUGGAGCGGUCUUUCGGAUGAUAAUAAUAGCAUCUAUCAUACCCACAUUAAAAUCCGCCCCAUCCAGAUCAUCGGAAAUUGGAAGGGGAACAAGUAAACAUUUCUAGGAAUCACUAACAAAGGAUGUGAAAUUCAGAAAUAGCUGAUGUCCUUCGAUUUUCUUUCAUCAAAGAGUUCCAAGUCACGUUGGCUCCGCAACAGCUUCGUGUGAUCUCAUCAUGGGUGGCUGCCUUUUAGAGGCUUAUUGGACGUUGUCAUACAUAAAGCACUUUCUCUGAGGACGGUAAAAAUAAUUCGAAACUGGAACAUGUGCACUGUCACUUUCUACCCACGCUUUUAGUUCUACUUAUUGGCCAGCUCGAUCUACUUUCACCCAGCGCGACGGUCCAAUCAACGAGCUUUCACCACCACGAUGGCGGAUCCCGGCCGGUUGCCCGGUUUCCUCUAUUUCAGGCCGACUGGCAACUGGUGGUGGGGACCUCCGCCCCCCAAUAGCAUCAUCCAUAAAUCUCAAGUAGCAUCAUUUCGCCCACGUACUUACUUAUUCCAAACUUAAGCAAGUGAAAGUUCUACCAAGUAAACUGCAAUCUUCCGAUAUUCGCCAUACUUAAAAAUAUUCCAAUUAUUUGCUAUAUUCAUCCUGCAGUGGUGAAGACUGAUACAAGAUUAGCAUAAAUAUGUAAUUAAGUAUCAGUAGAGCGUAGUAUAAGAUAUGUAUAUUGCCAAUUUGUUAUAUGUGCUGUGUAGGCAUAUACGUAAUGCUCAUUCCUCUAUGUAUAUACAGCAUUAAGGAUAUAACUUGAGGAGGAAGGGAAUCAUCUCCCUUUGUCUCAACAACAACAUACACAAAUCCAUCCAUCCAAUUGGGUCGAGUUUCAGCACAUCUUUUGGUGCUGGUUUUCACAUGGUUUGUUGAAGCUGGGCAGAAACUGCGUCGCAAAUUUUGGCAAAGUCACAUUGAGAAGCUCCUCUACUCGCCCUACCACCACUGCUCCCCCGCUUUGUUGCUAGUCAACUCCAACUGGUUUUACUUACCCAGUCCUCUCAACCAAGACAAAGCUCCAGUCAACUAGUUUUUCUUCGCUAUGUUGAAAAGCCUACAUAUUUCAGGUGCAUCUUUAUAAAAAACACUGUAUGUUUACGUUUAGAACUUCAUCCUGCUUGUGCAAUCUUCACGCUGGCGGAAAGUGGUGCUCAUCAGUCUUUGUACACGUCAGCAAAAGUACAAUUUUAUGGAUGCAUAUUGCCAUUAUUAUGUAAACGACCUCUCGUCCUCUGGAAAACCUUUUCAAAAUACCACAACCACAAGAUCAUUAUUUUUAUUUUUAUUUAGGCAUUAGGAACUAAAUUAUCAUGUUGUCAAUUAAUAAAUUGUGCACAAAAAUGUAAAUGAAACCCAACCACAUCCUUCACCAUUUUGUAGCCAAAACAAAUUGUAUAACUUUGGAAUCUUUAAAAGUCUAUUCAAUUCCUUAUUAGAUAUGUACAUAAAUAAAUAAAUAAAUUUGUUCUCAAUACAACUUAUCUAAAUAACUGACAGUCCAUUGAUGGGUAUAAAAUGCAAAAAGUCCAUUCUGAGACACAGAUACUGCAUUGUAUGUAAACUACUCGUAUUUGACCAAUAGUUGCAACAUACACAAAUAAACAACUUUAUAUUAUAAGGAAGAUCCAUCAUCAUACUAAUAUUUCGCGAAUAACAUACAUAGGCACGAGUCACACGAUGGAGAUGCAUAAAUUCUUGGUUAUGUUAAAUUCCAGUUCAGUCCGAUACACUACGAUACCAGACUAACUGCAUCUUAUCUAAAUCCGCACAUGUAGUACUCGAGAGGAGUUAAAUUAUCAACCUACUGCAAUUGUGCCAUUAAGCUCCCAUGAGAUAAUUAAUUUACCAGUGAUGUAGUGCAAGAAACUUCAUUAAUAAAUAGCAAUUUUUUAAGAAAGACAAAUGAUAUGAUGACGCAAGUCUGAUCUUCGUGCAUUUUUUUACAUAUUAUUUUUUACCUGUAACACGGGUUUACACUGAUGCAACAUACAUACAACUCGUAAAUUUAUAUUUACAAAUUGAGAUUGAAAGAAGAUGAACAAGUUUGAGGAUUUCACCCACAAAUGCAGAAACUACGUGAUGCCUUGCACGGAGUGAAGUGACAAGCGCCUAGAUUCGAGAGAAAGAGAGAUCCAGAAAAUUCUAGUGCAUUUCAUUUCAUACCCGAGAGAAUUCUAGUCUUUGAGAUUCUGCAACAAAGAAGUUCCACUAAAAUAUUGCCAGUCCUCACUUUGUGAAUUUUCACGAAUGUGAAUAUUACGAUGAAGAGCAUUUUCAUCAUUAAAUUGCAUUAAAUUUAUUUGGCUUAAAAGCUUUACUAAUCCAAUCUUCAGCAGAAGAGGACAGGUCUCUAUCCAACAUUUGCGUUAUGCAGGCAGCGAGAAUUCUCAUUGUAUUGUACUGCGUGGUAUGUAUGUACGAUGUACUAGGUAUGCAUUCAAGUAAGUACAUUGCAUGUAUACAGCCUUUUUACUGCUUCUGCUCCUGCCUGCACGUACUUAUAAACAACUCUGGCCCCCAUAUCGAUCUUCUGGUGGAAAGCUCUGGAUUCAUUCGCUAUGGUAUUAUUGUGCUCGACUCUACUGCGUUUUACCCUUCAUAUAAAAGGAAUGUCAAAGAGCUUGGGUCUCAGUUUCUUCGGAAACUCUGUGCAGUCAAGACUCUCGACUGGACGACCUGCUGAACCUGACGCUGCGGACGAGGAAGGAACUACACACCAACAACCACACCCACCCGACGUGGACGCCCACACCACAUUUCGCAUGUGUCCCCACUACCUCAGCAGCAGAAUACUGAACAAGCUGCCCAACAGGUGAUACCGGUGAAAGCCCUCGGGCCCCAACCCCACCGCUUUCUCCACCUCCGUCGACACCUUUGGCAUCAUCCCAGGCGGCCCUUGAGACAAUCAAGGGCGCGCCUCCCGACUGAAAAAGCUGAGAUGUAGUACCUACUUACCAAACCAGACCUUCCGCCGACGCAGUUCUCACUCGACCAUCAUAUCCAACAGUACGACAACGUCAACAACAAAUCAAGGCAGAUAAGCUGAAAUUUGCUCUUCUUAAAAUAUCAUCGUCAUCCAGUCUAUUUCGAGACAGUUUACUUUUAAAAUAACAAUCUUAUAUACGAAUUAAGGCCAAGUAUUAAGUAACCGUAAAGUUAAUGUACCUUAAAGUGCGUUAUUGAGACUCGAAGAACAGAGUGAGCUUAGAAGUUAAGGAGAAAGUACUCUGAAUUAGUAGACUAUUGAGUGCGAAGAAAGACAAAUAUUUUAGCCCCUCAUCAACUGGCUGUGCAGCAGACGUCAACGACUUACUACUGCUACAACAAUCUACAUUUGUGAGACAUUCUAGUCUCAAACGCCAACACCAUCAACAUUUCUGGGUUUCAGCGUAACACACAUUGAACGUGAUCUGGCCGACUUUUCGAGGGGAAAGCGAUUGUCCGGCAGUACUGACCACCACCUUUGAUUGAACCAUCUCCUGCGUGACCUGCCUGAACUGAACCUACUGGAUUCGUGGAAAGGAAUUCGAUAAGCUAACCCCUUCGGGGGCGCUUAUGCGGGGCGCUUGCGUCCGCGCGACCUUCGCCAUCACCAUCGCUCGCGAAAAUCACUUGUUGCCUGGGACAUUGAAGAAGAAGGAAUCCUUCACUCUGUACUGAUUACAUUUUCUACAGUCAGCCGCACACACCCCUCACAGCCAACCAACAAAGCGCACAAAGUCAUCAUCUUGGGAUCGAGGAGGAGGAGGCAGGCAGAGUUGGGCAACCACUCUGACCUUCGCCAAGGGACUGCGACACCCAGACUGACAUCACCAAUCUAAAGACCAACAGAGAUAUUCGGGUCACCGAAAUCGGGGAAGAUCUCAUCUCGUUUUGGACGUCGAUCAAACAACGGAAGUCGAAUUAGCUUUAAGAUCUAAUUAAGUUGACCAUUCAUAUAAUAUAAUAUUUGAUCAGUAACAUCGGACAGAAAACGGUACUCGAUUCAUAAUUCGUAUAUCCGAUCCAAAGAACAGUUUUAGAGUUUUCACAGCCGCUCUCCGGGUUUAUAUGUAACAUCCUUGGUUUAAUUGGUUGAUUGAUGAGAGCAGGUGAGGCUGGCUUACACACAUGCUGCUUCCCAGCAUUAUCUCAUGGUACAAAGAGGGAUAGAAGGACAGAAAUUUUUGGGGUAAGCGUUUGAUCAUUAGCCCACCGAUUGAUUAUUCGAUAAUAAGACGUUGACAUAGUUGUCAAUUUUAAGGUAUUAAUCAAACUAUGCAAUAAUUUUAAAACUGUAAUAACUCUGGGUACACCUGGUAAGUUAAGAUUUGUCGCAUAUUGGACUGAAAUAUUGGAGUGAGUUAUUAGGUUAGAGUAAUUGACAAUAUACGCACAGUUAGAAUCAGAAGGAUAGGUCAGCAUACAUACAGAGAACGCACACGUACGAUUAGUAAGGCAAAGGUGGCAUGUUAGAUCGGGGAAUGGCGUAGAGAAAGCAUGGCUUGACUAGAAAAGGUAUCAAACAAAGGCAAGGAAUGCUAAAAAAGUGACAUCAGAAAAUAUUUACACCUUAAAAUAAAUUCAAUAUUGAACUGAGGAGAGAGAUCCUGAAAUCCUGUAAGCUUACACACACGUAGGUUAAGAAAAGCCAAAGUCAUCAGUUUAGUAAUUAAGUCGUGAUAAUAAAAUCCCCAGCUUUUUCCAACAAUUUGCAAAUUGGUCAAUUUUUGUCAGAAUUAUAUUGUUCAUUAAGUAGAAUUUAAUUGACUUGUACAAAACUAUUGGAGAAAGCUCGGUGUGUAUCAAAAAGACGUGUAAAUUCUUUAGUUUUUUUCUUAAAUUCCCCUUAGUUUAAGGUUUAGUUAAGUUAGGGUAAAUAGGUUAGGGUGUUUGGGGAAGGGUUUGUAGGUUAUCUACUAGUUGAGCAGUCUUAAAUUGUAAAAAUAACAAAAACAUUACAUCAUAAGUACAGUAAGGGUUAGCCGGAAGCAUUGUAAGGUAAUUAGAUUUGGUGUGCUAAGACGUCCUGUAGAUAGGUGUACAUAGCAAGUAAGCAUUGUUGUAGAAAGUUUGGAGGAUUUGAAGUUUCAGGACAUCAUGUUCUAAUUUUUAAGGGGUGAGUUCAAGGAUUGCACAAUCCCAUCGCAAGGGUGCAUCACAAAGAACAACGAAGAUUAAUAUGUAUCUCUCGUAAGACAACAAACCUUAACUUACAAACAGGCACAAGAUUUUACGCACACAAGGGCGUCUACAAGCAGAGAUAUUUUGAAAUAUACAUACAUUGUAUACCAACUUUUGUUGCUUUUGUUAUUUCCAAAUUGCAAAGCCCAAAGGUUGUUCCAACCGAUUUUGAGUAAAAGCAGAUAGCGGAAAGUUAUUCAGAGGUGCUAUAUUUUAGUUUAGCCAAAUCAUCAGGCAAGAAAGACAUUUUCCUUAGUUGACACACACACAAGAUCACCGACCACUAGGUUUGCUUAUCACCAUUUGUUGAAGCACCAUAAGUUAAUUGCUUCUUAUUUCAAAGUUUUAUUACAACUACAAGAGCCAUAUUAUUGGUCGGUUUUAAGACUGAGUACUUGUAAGCCUAUAUAAGACUAUAGAGCAAGAAAAGUGAAGGCUGAGAAUGAAGAAAGUAUGAAAGAAAGAAAGCAAUAUCCGUCAAAGUGGUAAAAGAAACAGUAGGACAGGACCGACUAAAUUAAUUUUAUCAUGUAAAUUGCAUAAGCAGUAAGACGUGUUAAUGUUGUAAAGGGUAAAUAUUCAGGAUAAGAAUUGUCGCUGCAGUAAUUAAAUAGGUGUUUAUGCAGCACAAUCGUUUACAGGGGGUUAGCUUAGAUUGUUGCUGCGUUAGUUAGGACUGAGAUGAAGAAGAAAAUCUAUGCGAACUGAAAUUGUUGGAAAGUUGUUGUAGGAUUGUCAGUGCUUUAUAACUUAUACGAAAAAAUAACACAUCAAAGCAGGCGAAGGAUUAAAUUAGGAGCAAUUCAAAGUCAAAUUAGUUGUGGUACUGUUAAUUUAUUGUACAAAAGCACUCGAGCUAACAUGUUAAGUUCAAGAAAAUAAGUGGUAAUGGAAUAAAGUGACGAAGGCUAAAGCUUUAGCAAGCUUCAAUUUUAGAGUUUAUAUCAAGUCAGAAGGGCAAAAUAUUAAAUUCGGGUAAGGGCAGGGAUUGGUAUAGAAAUUAUAUAUGUCAGGUUUAAGGUCUCAUUAGUUAUUUCGGGUUAAGGUUGGGCACAUAAGGCUACAGAAUUAUUAAUGGAAAAUCCUUACGAAAGAUAAAUACACAAAAAAAUAUACCUUGCUAUCUCAUAUCACUUUAGGCUUACUGAACUUUUAGGAUAAGACAGUGAUAACUAUAGGUCAAUAAUAAUCAGUAAUGUGUACAUACUCGCUAGUUAGGUGACGUAAGACAAGCCCGACACAAAUCUAUACCACCAUCGCAACACGUAGUGUACAGAUUGGAAAAGCUACAAGAAAAGCUACAGAUUUUAACUUACCUUAUCUAAUUGUAAGAAAUUUCGAAUUAUUGCAUUACAAAAGUUUGCUAUCUACAAUCAGUAGAGCAAUUAAAAGGGACAGAUAAAGCAUUUACAAAAGUAAUUUGUGAGUAGAUAUUCCCAUCAACCUCCUCUCGUUUUUGGGCUCAUCGUAUGACGUCUCGUUGGGCUCAAAAACGGGGUUGGUUCGAUUUGACGAUCUUGUUCGAAUAUUCGUUGAGCUAAAAAAUAAUCAAUCUAUUGUCAUCCACUAUCUAAUGAAGUGAAGGAGAAAGUUCUUGGUGUUUGAGCAUUUGACAGAAAAAUACACAGAAAGACUCAACCCAAUCCUUAACCGAAAACGUACAUAAAUGUCAGAAAAGUGAAAAACUUGCAAUUUGCAAAAAGUGUCCAGACUGUGACUGUCGUAUUUGGGAGUAUCAAAAUGAUGGAAUAAGAAUUUUGUAAACUUUACCUAAUUAAUUGUUAUAUAAUAUUAAUCACUAAUAAUCGUACUUUGGAUGUGCUUUCCCUCCACAUGCUACUUGACAAUUUAUAAUUAAAUCUUUGGACCCUAUUGUACCUUACCUUUUGACUUAUUGUUAUUUACAUGUGACUGCAUUAAAAUAUAUAAAUAUGUAAUAUAUAUACACACAAGAGAAUCUUAUUGUAUUUCAACACUUACUUAUCACUAAAUCGAAUCAAUCACUAUACUCAAUUUGUAAAUACUUUUUAAAAAUUCAGAAUUCAGAGUAAUCCAUCUUAACUCUAUUCUUGUGUCCUCUUUAUUGCUGUUGUAGUUUUGGUGAAUCAUAUAAAUAGCCAGUUUCUUAAGGUGUCAAAUAAAAUUGAUGUUUAAUUUUA